GUAGGUGAACCUGCGGAAGGAUCAUUAUUGAAUGAACAUGGAGUUGGUUGUUGCUGGCCCCUUUAUCGGGGCAUGUGCACGCCUUCUCUAUUCAUCCACACACACCUGUGAACUUGUGAGACGGAUAGUAGUCCUCUAGGGGGCGAGGUCCGUCUGCUAUACAUAAACUCUAUUAUAUAAAUUUGAAUGUCAUUUGAUGUAACACAUCUAUAAACUAAGUUUCAACAACGGAUCUCUUGGCUCUC
RNAcentral lists this unclassified non-coding RNA (245 nucleotides) under rhizosphere metagenome. Its description in RNAcentral is "partial ribosomal RNA internal transcribed spacer region". The record is from RNAcentral.